Molecule: long non-coding RNA, 555 nt
Filed under: Homo sapiens (human)
Lineage: Eukaryota; Metazoa; Chordata; Mammalia; Primates; Hominidae
Description: non-protein coding LINC02384:44
Source: RNAcentral
CUGCAGGAGAUGAUAAUGAAUAGUGAAAAAUGCCAAGCAGACAAUAAGCAGAAGGAACAGAGGAAAUCCACAAACUGGAUAAUUGUUUCUUGAGUAACUGACCAUCAAUCUAGAUAGUGGUUGCAGUAAUUUCAAAUUCUUCUCUUCCUUUUCACUUCAGGCUUUCAUUUGGUCUCUUUUCGAAUCAGAAGACCCAGAAAACUUGGAUCCACUUCUGGCUCUCAUCCCUCUGGGCAGUGUGAUUUGGAGUAAGUAUAUUGGAAACAGCAUUACUUUAUAGUAAAUCAUGACCACGGUGUAUGGCAAUGAAGUUGCAUCUGAAGCAGCCGGCACCCUAUGUGCUAGCUGGCUUUUAGACCAGGAGACUGUGAAUCUGUGGUCAGGAUCUCUUUAGGGCUGCUAAAUAUAUACUACCCACUAUCACUCGCUGGAGCUGCAGACCCUAGUUUUAGAGUUUCACUUCUUAAAGACCUUCAUCCUUAUUAAAAUGGUAAUAUCCUUACUGUCAUCAAUCACUGACACAUUGGUAUGAGUGAGUUUGAGUCUGGUUUGAAG